ACAUUUAAUCACUUCCCACAAGGAGAAGCAGGCUGGGUGUGCUCCAGGCUCCGGAAGCUCCAGCAGCCCCAGAGAUGAGGGUGGUCUGCCCCCCACACUCCCUGCCCCAGCCCAUCCUGGACCUUCUCCUGACACACAGCAAACCACACUUAGCUGUCAUUGAUGAAUCGGAGCCUCUGCCAGACAGCCGGCCAAGCCGACGCUAACUCACCCCACAGCCUGAAAUAGAAACUCGCUCGUUUUCCAGUGUGUGACAAAGAAGGAAGGACAUCAACUGGGAGUGGCCCAGAAGCCCGAAGCUGAGAGGACAAAGCUCACUGGGGUAAGUUAACAUCACUCCAGAUCAGCCCCGGUGAAGUCAGCGAGAAUUGCCUACACCUGAAAAAAUGUGGCAAACUUAUUUGUAAAGCUUAUCUGACACUUUUGUCUAUAUUUGAUACAUUCAGUCCUCCACAAUCUCUACUUUACCAAAAUCCAUGCGGGUGCAUCAUAAAGAGAGAUGCUUGAUGACCAAGUUGUUCUGGACAAAUCAAGCUCAUCUGUUUGCAGCCCCUGUUCCUGGGGAACAAAACCUCCUAGUCAAGAAUCAUCACGCCCAUGGCUACACUACCACAAACACUCCAGUAAAUCAGGUGAACACCCACCCAGGGCUCCAGAGCCUACACACAUGGAACAUUUGUACUUUGGUGACUUCCAUCUUGAAGAUCUACGUGGGCCAAGAGUGAUGCUGACAUUAGCUGCUUCUUUUUCCACGAUCAAGUGGGUUUGGUGAUCAAAUAAGUUAGGAGCCUGGGCAACAUAGUGAGACCCUGUUACUACAAAUAAUACAAAAGUUAGCCAGGUGUGGUGGCGUGUGCCUGUAGUCCCAGUUACUUGGGAGGCUGAGGCAGGAGGUUCACUUGAACCCAAGAAGCAGAGGUUGCAGUGAGCUGAGAUUGCGCCACUGCACUCCAGCCUGGCUGCUAGAGUAAGACCCUGUUUCAAAAAACAAACAAACAAACAAAAAAAAAAAAAAGAAAAAAAAACAGGGAAAUACUGGGCUAACCAAUGACAAAUAAGUAUAUCUAUUGCAGGAAUUACCAAAAAUGUAAUGUGUAUUAGGAGUCUCCAGGGGAUGAAUAGGAGAUGACACAUUUUCCAAAUGUAUUUAACCAUCAAAUGCUCUUAGUAAGAAGCAUCUCCCUGGAACAGUGUCGUCAGAACGCACUUAGAGAAGCCCAAUUUAGACCCCUGUUAAAUUCAGCAAUUUAAUAUGGUGGCCAACACACUGUAGGCCAUCAAUACAAUAUUAAUAGUGUUCCAGGGACCACAUAUUUUGUGCACCAAUAACCUCAGUCUCUGUUUCCUACUCCACUCUCAGGGUUCCCGCUUUCUGUAAUCCCAGCUUGGUCUUGAUCUUUUGGUAUAGGGAAAGGAAAGGAGAGAGGGUCCCAGGAAGGAAGAAACUGGUGGGAUUUUCCAUGGGAAGGUUUGAGAACUACUGUUGCAUCAAGAGGGAGAGAGAAAGCAAGAGGGUGUCCCGGGAGAACGUGGCAGAAUUUGUUUGGAGAGAAGAUUAUGAGAACUGAAAUGUCAGAUGCAGACAGACAAAGAAGAAAGGAGGGAAUAUUGAAAUUGGAACCACAACACUUGGGUAUAUCAGGUUGGAAAAGACAGUUCAACAGAUGGCUGGUCACCUUGAUUGAGUAGAAUGCCACUGGAAGACCACAAAUCUCUAAACCAUAGUGAAGAAUUGGCCAAGGGGAGCAAAAUCCAAUCAAUUCAAGGGGUUCCCCUUUCCAGGGUCUUGGACAGCGAGGUGACAUGAAAUGGCCGUUCUAGUCUAUGCAAUGGCAGCAUGAACACAGAAAGCUGAAACGGGGGAUCAGUUCUGCAGCCAAGAGACAUUAAAGCUCAAAGGUAUAAUCGGAAGCUAGAAUUCAUUCAUUCAACAAAUAUUGACUGAGCAAGCUCUUACUGUGUGUAAUGCCUUUCUUCUCAUAGUUUUUGCACCGCCACCCCCACCCCUUCUCAGUUGCUUUGCCAGAUUUCGAACUCCAGGGGUAUUUAUUCAGUGUAUUGUUUCAAGAAAAGGAAGGUCUUCACAAACAGGUGCAACAGGCCACAGCCUGCCCAGGCGGAGGCUUGCAAGCACCUCUGAUAAAGCAGCAAAAAAACACGGGAGGACAUUUUUUCUUUCAGAUUUUCAUAUACAGAUGUGGAAGAGAUAAG
This 2211-nucleotide long non-coding RNA is filed under the name Homo sapiens (human). RNAcentral's name for it is "HSALNT0404186". Lineage: Eukaryota; Metazoa; Chordata; Mammalia; Primates; Hominidae. The record is from RNAcentral.